This is a long non-coding RNA of Elgaria multicarinata webbii, 478 nucleotides long. RefSeq lists it as uncharacterized. Lineage: Eukaryota; Metazoa; Chordata; Lepidosauria; Squamata; Anguidae. The record is from RefSeq and is a predicted model, not a curated record. The transcript has 3 exons.
UCGAGGCCAACGACCCUGAGAGGUUAAAGAGCUGCAAUGGGCUCCCCAUCCUUCUAAAGAUGCAUCCGUCGUGAUCGUUACCGAAGGCGCGUCUUGUUGGAAUGGAACGCCUUCGAGAAGAGUCGACAUCGAGAACCACCAUCUCAGAGAUGCCCUCACUUGCUUCGGUAUCGAAAGGUGGGCGCAUACCACCGCCAUAACCUUCGUGAAGACCCUCGGCGCCGUGGCCAAUCCGAACGGAAGAACGGUGAACUGGUACUGGGACGCUCCGAUCGAAAACCGAAGAAGCUGCAGAAUUGAAGUAACCGUUGUCAUACGGAACUUCCUCGGGGUGAUGAACUUGUUCAGUUGUCUUAAGUCCAUGAUCGGUCGAAGACCUCCAUCUUUCUUCGGGACCGUGAAGUAACGAGAGAAAAAUCCCUGAUUGAGUUCCUCUGCAGGUACGGGAGAGAUGGCUCCCUUCGAUAGUAAGGUCUGU